This 222-nucleotide unclassified non-coding RNA is filed under the name Glomeraceae sp. Its description in RNAcentral is "partial contains 5.8S ribosomal RNA and internal transcribed spacer 2". The stretch from base 1 to 71 matches the Rfam family "5.8S ribosomal RNA", at positions 84 to 154 of the family's 154-position model. The record is from RNAcentral. Lineage: Eukaryota; Fungi; Glomeromycota; Glomeromycetes; Glomerales; Glomeraceae.
GUGAAUCAUCGAAUCUUUGAACGCAAAUUGCACUCUCUGGUAUUCCGGGGAGUAUGCCUGUUUGAGGGUCAGUUUAAAUAAAAAUCGGUAUGGUUGCUGCCUUUCGUCGUGACGCACCGGAUUUUGGUUGUUUUGCCUUCCGUUAAUUGACAUAACAUUGUGCAUGAUUUUUUUCGAACGUAUUUAAAUUAUUUUACGUACGUUUGCGAUAUCGAAUACUAG